Long non-coding RNA from Dipodomys spectabilis (banner-tailed kangaroo rat), 98 nucleotides. RefSeq lists it as uncharacterized. The transcript has 3 exons. NCBI's taxonomy places the organism in Eukaryota, Metazoa, Chordata, Mammalia, Rodentia, Heteromyidae. The record is from RefSeq and is a predicted model, not a curated record.
ACUUCUGACUGUUUCUCUGUAUGUGGUCUUGAGGAAUUGAACUCAGGGCCUCAUGCAUGCAAGGCAAGCACUCUACCACUGAGCCACCUUCCCAGGCC